RNAcentral lists this ribosomal RNA (340 nucleotides) under Anaplasma phagocytophilum. RNAcentral describes it as "bacterial SSU rRNA". It matches the Rfam family "Bacterial small subunit ribosomal RNA", at positions 68 to 421 of the family's 1533-position model. The record is from RNAcentral. Lineage: Bacteria; Pseudomonadati; Pseudomonadota; Alphaproteobacteria; Rickettsiales; Anaplasmataceae.
UAUUCUUUAUAGCUUGCUAUGAUAGAAAUUAGUGGCAGACGGGUGAGUAAUGCAUAGGAAUCUACCUAGUAGUAUGGGAUAGCCACUAGAAAUGGUGGGUAAUACUGUAUAAUCCCUGCGGGGGAAAGAUUUAUCGCUAUUAGAUGAGCCUAUGUUAGAUUAGCUAGUUGGUAGGGUAAAGGCCUACCAAGGCAGUGAUCUAUAGCUGGUCUGAGAGGAUGAUCAGCCACACUGGAACUGAGAUACGGUCCAGACUCCUACGGGAGGCAGCAGUGGGGAAUAUUGGACAAUGGGCGCAAGCCUGAUCCAGCUAAGCCGCGUGAGUGAGGAGGGCCUUAGG